Molecule: ribosomal RNA, 300 nt
Filed under: uncultured Halogeometricum sp.
Lineage: Archaea; Methanobacteriati; Methanobacteriota; Halobacteria; Halobacteriales; Haloferacaceae
Description: bacterial SSU rRNA
Rfam family: Bacterial small subunit ribosomal RNA
Source: RNAcentral
CGUAAUAUAGGGCCGGGGGCCGCGGAUAUACGAGGGGGGCAAGGGGUAAUCGGAAGUACUGGUCGUAAAGCGGGCGCAGGCGGUUUGCUAAGACCGAUGUGAAAUCCCCGGGCUCAACCUGGGAACUGCAUUGGUGACUGGCAGGCUAGAGUAUGGCAGAGGGGGGUAGAAUUCCACGUGUAGCAGUGAAAUGCGUAGAGAUGUGGAGGAAUACCGAUGGCGAAGGCAGCCCCCUGGGCCAAUACUGACGCUCAUGCACGAAAGCGUGGGGAGCAAACAGGAUUAGAUACCCUAGUAGUC